Molecule: long non-coding RNA, 2525 nt
Organism: Brassica napus (rape)
Lineage: Eukaryota; Viridiplantae; Streptophyta; Magnoliopsida; Brassicales; Brassicaceae
Exons: 4
Source: RefSeq, a predicted model, not a curated record
UUUAAAGUAAUGUAUUAAUUAAGUUUUAAAAAAUAAAAAAAAAUACACCAAAACAAAAAUCAAAAUCUAGAAACCAAAAACCAAAAAACAAAAGAUGAAAACCAAAAACCAAAAUCUAAAAAUCAAAAAUUAAAAUCUAAAAACCAAAAACUAAAAAUACUAACUAUUGAAACAAUCAUGGCAUAGAUAACCAUAAUAGUUGAUGGGAUAAAAACACAGUUUUCACAGCAACAACAACAACAAAAAAAACUUUAGGGUUCAUGGGAUUCUCGACGAAUUGGGAGAAUCCGAGUUAGAAAGCGGCAAUUCCAUAUAAAAUGAAAACAGGACCAGGACCAGACAGAAAAAUCAAUUGUCUCCCCCAAACUAAACCCAGAACACUGUCAAUCGUUUCCCGUUGCAGCUAAAAACCAGAGAGAUGCAGAGGAUCAGUUAACUGUACGGUGAAUUGGACUUCUUAAGAGAGCACACAAAAAACCUUCGAAGAAAUUUAAUACGUUCCUGGUAUCUCUCUCCUUCACUACUGGUGAUGGCAGUGAGUUUCAGCAGAAUAUCUCCAGUCAAGAUAUCUGAUCGAGAUCUCAAUUUUAUACAUUUGAAUCCGGAUGGAAGCGUGACCGAGCAGCGUGGCUGUCUCACCACAAAACGACUCCUUUGUUGACGCCGUUGCAGACCGCACAGAGGAUUCUAGAAAUCAUCUAUACCCACGCCUUUUGGAUGCGUCUGAAACACAUGCUUUGUUGGGGGAUACAUUUUGUCUAGGGGAAGUCACAACAAGGAAAUGCUGAAGACUGUCUUGCAGUUUGAGAGUAAAGUUAACAAGGAGUAUACUUUUUAAAAUUUCAGUCUAUGGAGGUAGUAAACAGAGGCGUAUCUACCGACAUUCCGGUUUAUAUGUACUUUGAUGCAUUUUCAACUCUGUUUUACCAUAAAAAUGCAGAUGACUAUUUAUGUAGCCGCUGGGCGUGGUUAUCGUUUGGUGUGUUCUUAUAACCGCCGGGUGUGGUUUUUGUGUUCUUAUACAAUCUGGAACUUGAAAAGCUCUAUUGAAUGAUAACACUGCCUUGCUUUUAAUCGAUGUGUUUCGGGUUUUGGUUGUUUUUCCUCCAAAGAGCUAGAAAUGUAUUUUCAAUGAUUACUCCAUUCUUGAUCUUGGUCUAUCACGUCCUCACUCAAACAGGCUGAAGCUUUGAACACUUCUUUGGAUUAGUCGUUGCUAUCUUCUUGUCUACUAAGGAAGAACGGUAAGAACAACACAUCACCUGCAAAUUUAAAUAGAGACUUAUUAAUAACACCAUAAGAACAUUUGCACGUCAUGCUCAUCCAAUGACCACAAACAAUUUUUAUUUGAGCCACGAGAGAAGGAAGAAAAUAAACGUCAAUCUGAAAACGCCAUUAACGUCGAAUAAGGUAAUCACGUGUAAGAGUGAUUUGUAGAUUAGGGCUUUUCUCUUUGUUUGUUUAAAUUAAGUUUGGUUUAGUUUAAUUAAAUAAUUUUGGUUUACAUGCUUUUGAUUCAAAUUAUGGUUGGUUUGAAACAUUUUGGUUUAAAUCAAGUUAAAUUACUGGUAUAUGAAAUAAUUUCAGAAUUAAAUGGUUUAAUCUGGUUUGCAAUAACUCGGUUAAGAGGAAUUAAUAAAAAUCUGUGGCAAAUCAUAAAUAAAUUUGUGGCUUAAUUUUAAACAAAUCUGUCGAACUGUAACAAAUCGGUGGUCAAAUAAUAAAUAAAUCUAUCAAAUUCUAACUAAAUCAGUCAAAUUCUAAUAAAUCUGUGGUCAAAGAAUAAAUAAAUCUAUCAAAUCUUAACUAAGUCUGUCAAAAUUAAAUAAAUUUGUGGCUAAAGAAUAAUAAAUCUAUCAAAUCAAAAUUAAAUCUAUCAAAAACAAGUAAAUCUGUGGUUAAAGAAAAAAUAACUCUAUCAAAUCCGUAAAUUUGUUAUAACAAAUCUGUCAAAUAAAGUAAAUCUGUGACCAAAUAAAUUAAAUCUGUCAAAAUUUAAUAAAUUUAUGGCCAAAUGUGACAGAUUUGUUAUAACAAGUCUGUAGAAAUAGUAAUAAGUCUAUAGAUUUUAAGUAAAUCUUUUGCUAAAGAAGAAUAUAUUUAAGUUUGUGGCUACAUAAAAAGUAGACAAAAUAAAUCUGUGGAUGGCAAAAUUGUAAAUAUUCCGAAAAUUCAGUAAUGGCAUUUUCGUAAUUAUUAUUUUUGUUAACAAAGGAAAUAGGGUAAAUUAGGUAUGAAAAACGAGCUAGUAAUUAAAAUAAAAUUAGAGUUAAACUAGUAAAUAAUUGAUAAAUAAGGGUUACACUAGUUUUUUCCCUUUCUUUUAUCCUUUUCUGUAAAUAAGGAAAUCAACUAUUUUUAGUUAGCAAUUAAUUUAUAAAUUUAUAUAUAGAGAAAAAGAUAAAAAUAGCACUAAAUCAAGUUUUUGUUCACAAACUAGCACUCAAGGUCAAAAGUCACAAAAAUAGCACUUAAUGUUUUAUCAAAAGUCACAAACUUAGGGUUUAGAGUUAAAGGGUGGGGUU